AACGUGGGAUGCCGUUCUUCAAUAACCUUCGAGUUCCCUGGACU
RNAcentral lists this small RNA (44 nucleotides) under Arabidopsis thaliana (thale cress). RNAcentral describes it as "ATSL135400". The record is from RNAcentral. Lineage: Eukaryota; Viridiplantae; Streptophyta; Magnoliopsida; Brassicales; Brassicaceae.